This is a small nuclear RNA of Microtus ochrogaster (prairie vole), 106 nucleotides long. NCBI's taxonomy places the organism in Eukaryota, Metazoa, Chordata, Mammalia, Rodentia, Cricetidae. The record is from Ensembl.
GUGCUCACUUUGGCAGGGCAUUUAUGAAGGUUGGAAUAAUACAGAGAAGAUUGGCAUGAUCCUGUGCAAGGAUGACUUGCAGAUCCAUAAAGUAUGCCCUAUUUGA